RNAcentral lists this ribosomal RNA (586 nucleotides) under uncultured bacterium. Its description in RNAcentral is "partial 16S ribosomal RNA". It matches the Rfam family "Bacterial small subunit ribosomal RNA", at positions 355 to 1375 of the family's 1533-position model. The record is from RNAcentral.
UGGGGAAUUUUGGACAGUGGGCGAAAGCCUGAUCCAGCAAUGCCGCGUGUGUGAAGAAGGCCUUCGGGUUGUAAAGCACUUUUGUCCGGAAAGAAAUCCUUGGCUCUAAUACAGUCGGGGGAUGACGGUACCGGAAGAAUAAGCACCGGCUAACUACGUGCCAGCAGCCGCGGUAAUACGUAGGGUGCAAGCGUUAAUCGGAAUUACCGGGCGUAAAGCGUGCGCAGGCGGUUUGCUAAGACCGAUGUGAAAUCCCCGGGCUCAACCUGGGAACUGCAUUGGUGACUGGCAGGCUAGAGUAUGGCAGAGGGGGGUAGAAUUCCACGUGUAGCAGUGAAAUGCGUAGAGAUGUGGAGGAAUACCGAUGGCGAAGGCAGCCCCCUGGGCCAAUACUGACGCUCAUGCACGAAAGCGUGGGGAGCAAACAGGAUUAGAUACCCUGGUAGUCCACGCCCUAAAACGAUGUCAACUAGUUGUUGGGGAUUCAUUUCCUUAGUAACGUAGCUAACGCGUGAAGUUGACCGCCUGGGGAGUACGGUCGCAAGAUUAAAACUCAAAUGAAUUGACGGGGUCAUAGCUGUUUCCU